This 506-nucleotide ribosomal RNA is filed under the name uncultured bacterium. RNAcentral describes it as "partial 16S ribosomal RNA". It matches the Rfam family "Bacterial small subunit ribosomal RNA", at positions 29 to 523 of the family's 1533-position model. The record is from RNAcentral.
AUUGAACGCUGGCGGCAGGCCUAACACAUGCAAGUCGGACGGUAGCACAGGGGAGCUUGCUCCUCGGGUGACGAGUGGCGGACGGGUGAGUAAUGUCUGGGGAUCUGCCCGAUAGAGGGGGAUAACCACUGGAAACGGUGGCUAAUACCGCAUAAUGUCGCAAGACCAAAGAGGGGGACCUUCGGGCCUCUCACUAUCGGAUGAACCCAGAUGGGAUUAGCUAGUAGGCGGGGUAACGGCCCACCUAGGCGACGAUCCCUAGCUGGUCUGAGAGGAUGACCAGGCACACUGGAACUGAGACGCGGUCCAGACUCCUACGGGAGGCAGCAGUGGGGAAUAUUGCACAAUGGGCGCAAGCCUGAUGCAGCCAUGCCGCGUGUAUGAAGAAGGCCUUCGGGUUGUAAAGUACUUUCAGCGGGGAGGAAGGUGAUGUGGUUAAUAACCGCGUCGAUUGACGUUACCCGCAGAAGAAGCACCGGCUAACUCCGUGCCAGCCGCCGCAGUAA